Molecule: ribosomal RNA, 497 nt
Filed under: uncultured bacterium
Lineage: Bacteria
Description: partial 16S ribosomal RNA
Rfam family: Bacterial small subunit ribosomal RNA
Source: RNAcentral
GAUGAACGCUGGCGGCGUGCCUAAUACAUGCAAGUCGAGCGAACAGACGAGGAGCUUGCUCCUCUGACGUUAGCGGCGGACGGGUGAGUAACACGUGGAUAACCUACCUAUAAGACUGGGAUAACUUCGGGAAACCGGAGCUAAUACCGGAUAAUAUAUUGAACCGCAUGGUUCAAUAGUGAAGGACGGUUUUGCUGUCACUUAUAGAUGGAUCCGCGCCGCAUUAGCUAGUUGGUAAGGUAACGGCUUACCAAGGCGACGGUGCGUAGCCGACCUGAGAGGGUGAUCGGCCACACUGGAACUGAGACACGGUCCAGACUCCUACGGGAGGCAGCAGUAGGGAAUCUUCCGCAAUGGGCGAAAGCCUGACGGAGCAACGCCGCGUGAGUGAUGAAGGUCUUCGGAUCGUAAAACUCUGUUAUUAGGGAAGAACAAAUGUGUAAGUAACUAUGCACGUCUUGACGGUACCUAAUCAGAAAGCCACGGCUAACUACGUG